Molecule: ribosomal RNA, 406 nt
Filed under: uncultured bacterium
Lineage: Bacteria
Description: partial 16S ribosomal RNA
Rfam family: Bacterial small subunit ribosomal RNA
Source: RNAcentral
AUUGAACGCUGGCGGCAGGCUUAACACAUGCAAGUCGAGCGAGCGGCGGACGGGUGAGUAAUGUCUGGGAAACUGCCUGAUGGAGGGGGAUAACUACUGGAAACGGUAGCUAAUACCGCAUACCAUCAGAUGUGCCCAGAUGGGAUUAGCUAGUAGGUGGGGUAAUGGCACACCUAGGCGCCGAGCCCUAGCUGGUCUGAGAGGAUAACCAGCCACCCGGGAACUGCGACACGUCCCAGACUCCAACGAGAGGCAGCAGUGGGGAAUAUUGCACAAUGGGCGCAAGCCUCAUGCGUCCAUGCAGCGUGUGUGAAGAAGGCCUUCGGGUUGUAAAGAACUUUCAGCGAGGAGGCGUUACUCGCAGAAGAAGCACCGGCUAACUCCGUGCCAGCAGCCGCGGUAAUUC